Molecule: ribosomal RNA, 334 nt
Filed under: uncultured eukaryote
Lineage: Eukaryota
Description: partial 18S ribosomal RNA
Rfam family: Eukaryotic small subunit ribosomal RNA
Source: RNAcentral
CCCUUAGAUGUCCGGGGCCGCACGCGCGCUACACUGAAGGAAUCAGCGUGGCUUUCUCCCUGACCCGAAAGGGUUGGGAAACCCGUUGAAUCUCCUUCGUGAUAGGGAUUGGGGCUUGAAAUUGUUCCCAAUGAACGAGGAAUUCCCAGUAAGCGCGAGUCAUAAGCUCGCGUUGAUUACGUCCCUGCCCUUUGUACACACCGCCCGUCGCUACUACCGAUUGAACGGUUUAGUGAGGGCCUCGGAUUGGUCUCGGCCCGCUCUUUACCGGGCGGCGCCGUUGGUCGAGAAGACGCUCGAACUUGAUCGUUUAGAGGAAGUAAAAGUCGUAACA